UGGGGGACAACGUGUGGAAACGCACGCUAAUACCGCAUACGCCCUACGGGGGAAAGGAGGGGAUCUUCGGACCUUUCGCUAAUAGAUGAGCCUGCGUAGGAUUAGCUAGUUGGUAGGGUAAAGGCCUACCAAGGCGACGAUCCUUAGCUGUUCUGAGAGGAAGAUCAGCCACACUGGGACUGAGACACGGCCCAGACUCCUACGGGAGGCAGCAGUGGGGAAUAUUGGACAAUGGGCGAAAGCCUGAUCCAGCAAUACCGCGUGUGUGAAGAAGGCCUUAGGGUUGUAAAGCACUUUCAAUUGGGAGGAAAAAACAAGGGUCAAUACCCCUUGUCUUGACAUUACCUUUAGAAGAAGCACCGGCUAACUCCGUGCCAGCAGCCGCGGUAAUACGGAGGGUGCGAGCGUUAAUCGGAAUUACUGGGCGUAAAGAGUGCGUAGGCGGCUCGUUAAGUCAGAUGUGAAAGCCCUGGGCUCAACCUGGGAACUGCAUUUGAAACUGGCGAGCUAGAGUUGAGUAGAGGUAAGUGGAAUUUCAGGUGUAGCGGUGAAAUGCGUAGAUAUCUGAAGGAACACCAGUGGCGAAGGCGACUUACUGGACUCAAACUGACGCUGAGGUACGAAAGCGUGGGUAGCAAACAGGAUUAGAUACCCUGG
RNAcentral lists this ribosomal RNA (657 nucleotides) under uncultured organism. RNAcentral describes it as "bacterial SSU rRNA". It matches the Rfam family "Bacterial small subunit ribosomal RNA", at positions 137 to 790 of the family's 1533-position model. The record is from RNAcentral.